GCGGGCAUGAUGGAAUUGGCAGACAUGCAGGAUUUAGGUUCCUGUGCCUUGUGCGUUGGGGUUCAAGUCCCCAUGCCCGCACCA
Molecule: transfer RNA, 84 nt
Filed under: Clostridiales bacterium
Lineage: Bacteria; Bacillati; Bacillota; Clostridia; Eubacteriales
Also listed under: 2 other names
Description: tRNA-Leu
Rfam family: tRNA
About the family: Transfer RNA (tRNA) molecules are approximately 80 nucleotides in length. Their secondary structure includes four short double-helical elements and three loops (D, anti-codon, and T loops).
Source: RNAcentral